RNAcentral lists this ribosomal RNA (1004 nucleotides) under Salmonella enterica. Its description in RNAcentral is "partial 23S ribosomal RNA". It matches the Rfam family "Bacterial large subunit ribosomal RNA", at positions 161 to 1206 of the family's 2925-position model. The record is from RNAcentral. RNAcentral also lists the same sequence under 1 other name. Lineage: Bacteria; Pseudomonadati; Pseudomonadota; Gammaproteobacteria; Enterobacterales; Enterobacteriaceae.
AAUCCAUAGGUUAAUGAGGCGAACCGGGGGAACUGAAACAUCUAAGUACCCCGAGGAAAAGAAAUCAACCGAGAUUCCCCCAGUAGCGGCGAGCGAACGGGGAGGAGCCCAGAGCCUGAAUCAGCAUGUGUGUUAGUGGAAGCGUCUGGAAAGGCGCGCGAUACAGGGUGACAGCCCCGUACACAAAAGCGCAUGUGCUGUGAGCUCGAUGAGUAGGGCGGGACACGUGGUAUCCUGUCUGAAUAUGGGGGGACCAUCCUCCAAGGCUAAAUACUCCUGACUGACCGAUAGUGAACCAGUACCGUGAGGGAAAGGCGAAAAGAACCCCGGCGAGGGGAGUGAAAAAGAACCUGAAACCGUGUACGUACAAGCAGUGGGAGCACCCUUUGGGUGUGACUGCGUACCUUUUGUAUAAUGGGUCAGCGACUUAUAUUCUGUAGCAAGGUUAACCGAAUAGGGGAGCCGGAGGGAAACCGAGUCUUAACCGGGCGUUAAGUUGCAGGGUAUAGACCCGAAACCCGGUGAUCUAGCCAUGGGCAGGUUGAAGGUUGGGUAACACUAACUGGAGGACCGAACCGACUAAUGUUGAAAAAUUAGCGGAUGACCUGUGGCUGGGGGUGAAAGGCCAAUCAAACCGGGAGAUAGCUGGUUCUCCCCGAAAGCUAUUUAGGUAGCGCCUCGUGAAUUCAUCUCCGGGGGUAGAGCACUGUUUCGGCUAGGGGGCCAUCCCGGCUUACCAACCCGAUGCAAACUGCGAAUACCGGAGAAUGUUAUCACGGGAGACACACGGCGGGUGCUAACGUCCGUCGUGAAGAGGGAAACAACCCAGACCGCCAGCUAAGGUCCCAAAGUCAUGGUUAAGUGGGAAACGAUGUGGGAAGGCCCAGACAGCCAGGAUGUUGGCUUAGAAGCAGCCAUCAUUUAAAGAAAGCGUAAUAGCUCACUGGUCGAGUCGGCCUGCGCGGAAGAUGUAACGGGGCUAAACCAUGCACCGAAGCUGCGGC